RNAcentral lists this transfer RNA (61 nucleotides) under Eisenia nordenskioldi nordenskioldi. RNAcentral's name for it is "tRNA-Asp". The record is from RNAcentral. Lineage: Eukaryota; Metazoa; Annelida; Clitellata; Crassiclitellata; Lumbricidae.
GAAAUACUAGUUAAAUAAUAACAAUGUCUUGUCAAGACAUAAUUACCUAAGGUGUACUUCU